UCCCGGGGACUUGAUCCCCCUUAAGGGUCGUCCGAGACCAGGACGUUGAUAGGCCAGGUGUGGAAGCGUGGUGACACGUUAAGCUAACUGGUACUAAUUGCCCGUGAGGCUUGACCCUAUAACUUUGC
Molecule: ribosomal RNA, 128 nt
Filed under: Betaproteobacteria bacterium
Lineage: Bacteria; Pseudomonadati; Pseudomonadota; Betaproteobacteria
Description: partial 23S ribosomal RNA
Rfam family: Bacterial large subunit ribosomal RNA
Source: RNAcentral